AAGAGACAGCAGCAGCCGCGGUAAUACGGAGGGUGCAAGCGUUAAUCGGAAUUACUGGGCGUAAAGCGUGCGUAGGCGGCUUCUUAAGUCGGAUGUGAAAUCCCUGAGCUUAACUUAGGAAUUGCAUUCGAUACUGGGAAGCUAGAGUAUGGGACAGGAUGGUAGAAUUCCAGGUGUAGCGGUGAAAUGCGUAGAGAUCUGGAGGAAUACCGAUGGCGAAGGCAGCCAUCUGGCCUAAUACUGACGCUGAGGUACGAAAGCAUGGGGAGCAAACAGGAUUAGAUACCCCAGUAGUCCCUGUCUCUUAUAC
This 310-nucleotide ribosomal RNA is filed under the name uncultured bacterium. RNAcentral's name for it is "partial 16S ribosomal RNA". It matches the Rfam family "Bacterial small subunit ribosomal RNA", at positions 503 to 807 of the family's 1533-position model. The record is from RNAcentral.